RNAcentral lists this ribosomal RNA (551 nucleotides) under uncultured Azospira sp. RNAcentral's name for it is "bacterial SSU rRNA". It matches the Rfam family "Bacterial small subunit ribosomal RNA", at positions 374 to 918 of the family's 1533-position model. Lineage: Bacteria; Pseudomonadati; Pseudomonadota; Betaproteobacteria; Rhodocyclales; Rhodocyclaceae. The record is from RNAcentral.
GGGGGCACCUGAUCAGCCAUGCCGCGUGAGUGAAGAAGGCCUUCGGGUUGUAAAGCUCUUUCGGCGGGGAAGAAAUGGCGACGGCUAAUAUCCGUUGUUGAUGACGGUACCCGCAUAAGAAGCACCGGCUAACUACGUGCCAGCAGCCGCGGUAAUACGUAGGGUGCGAGCGUUAAUCGGAAUUACUGGGCGUAAAGCGUGCGCAGGCGGUUUCGUAAGACAGACGUGAAAUCCCCGGGCUCAACCUGGGAACUGCGUUUGUGACUGCGAGGCUAGAGUACGGCAGAGGGGGGUAGAAUUCCACGUGUAGCAGUGAAAUGCGUAGAGAUGUGGAGGAAUACCGAUGGCGAAGGCAGCCCCCUGGGUUAGUACUGACGCUCAUGCACGAAAGCGUGGGGAGCAAACAGGAUUAGAUACCCUGGUAGUCCACGCCCUAAACGAUGUCAACUAGGUGUUGGAAGGGUUAAACCUUUUAGUACCGCAGCUAACGCGUGAAGUUGACCGCCUGGGGAGUACGGCCGCAAGGUUAAAACUCAAAGGAAUGGACGGAA